UCAAAUGACUCUCGGCAAUGGAUAUCUCGGCUCUUGCAUCGAUGAAGAACGUAGUGAAAUGCGAUACUUGGUGUGAAUUGCAGAAUCUCGUGAACCAUUGAGUCUUUGAACGCAAGUUGUGCCCGGAGCCUUGUGGCCGAGGGCACGCCUGCUUGGGCGUCAUGG
RNAcentral lists this ribosomal RNA (165 nucleotides) under Boesenbergia aurantiaca. RNAcentral's name for it is "5.8S ribosomal RNA". It matches the Rfam family "5.8S ribosomal RNA". Rfam says of the family: 5.8S ribosomal RNA (5.8S rRNA) is a component of the large subunit of the eukaryotic ribosome. RNAcentral also lists the same sequence under 1 other name. The record is from RNAcentral. Lineage: Eukaryota; Viridiplantae; Streptophyta; Magnoliopsida; Zingiberales; Zingiberaceae.